RNAcentral lists this ribosomal RNA (253 nucleotides) under uncultured bacterium. RNAcentral's name for it is "partial 16S ribosomal RNA". It matches the Rfam family "Bacterial small subunit ribosomal RNA", at positions 524 to 776 of the family's 1533-position model. The record is from RNAcentral.
UACGUAGGGUGCGAGCGUUGUCCGGAUUUAUUGGGCGUAAAGGGCUCGUAGGCGGCGUGUCGCGUCGGGAGUGAAAGCCCGUUGCUUAACGGCGGGUUGGCUUUCGGUACGGGCAUGCUGGAGUGCGGCAGGGGAGACUGGAAUUCCUGGUGUAGCGGUGGAAUGCGCAGAUUUCAGGAGGAACACCGGUGGCGAAGGCGGGUCUCUGGACAUUUCCUGACGCUGAGGCACGAAAGCCAGGGGAGCAAACGGG